GGGGGCCCGCAAGCGGUGGAGUAUGUGGUUUAAUUCGACGCAACGCGCAGAACCUUACCUGGUCUUGACAUCGCGAGAUCGCUGCAGAGAUGUAGCUUUGCCUUCGGGCACUCGUAGACAGGUGCUGCAUGGCUGUCGUCAGCUCGUGUUGUGAAAUGUUCGGUUAAGUCCGGCAACGAGCGCAACCCCUGUCCUUAGUUACCAUCAUUAAGUUGGGGACUCUAGGGAGACUGCCGGUGUUAAACCGGAGGAAGGCGGGGAUGACGUCAAGUCCUCAUGGCCCUUACGACCAGGGCUACACACGUACUACAAUGGCGAAAACAAACCGCUGCAAACUCGUAAGAGCAAGCUAAUCGGAAAAACAUCGUCUCAGUCCGGAUUGAAGUCUGCAACUCGACUUCAUGAAGUUGGAAUCGCUAGUAAUCGCAGAUCAGCACGCUGCGGUGAAUACGUUCCCGGGCCUUGUACACACC
RNAcentral lists this ribosomal RNA (473 nucleotides) under uncultured bacterium. RNAcentral describes it as "bacterial SSU rRNA". It matches the Rfam family "Bacterial small subunit ribosomal RNA", at positions 915 to 1391 of the family's 1533-position model. The record is from RNAcentral.